ACGAACCCAGACACCAUAAUCUGAGGAAGCCCAAGUAACUGCAUGUACUAGUUCCAGCUGACAGCCCCAGUUGACAGUCAGUACCAACUGCUACAGACAGAAAGUGUAGAACUGAAUGAAGGUCAUUCUGAUGUUUUGCCUCUACAUCUGGGAGGAUAACGAUCCCAUCAACUGAAGGAGGUCCAUAGAGGAAGAACAGAACCUGCAUUUGAGGAACCUAUGGGACAUUCACAAGGAGAGGUCAAGUAGACAGGAUAUAAACAUCUGGAGCUCAGUUGCCUUGACCACACCUGGUGAUUUAUUAUAGCUACUAUGGGGUGCACAGGUGCAGCUACAGAGAAGGCAAAUACUGUCCACCAAGCCCACACCAGGUAUGUGGUCUUUGGAAAAUUACAGCCUCUUUCUUCUGUUAAACAAAUCAGAGGAGUUGGUAAUAUAAAUUAUGAAUGUUACCUUUUGUUUUGGUUUAUUUUGUUGAAUGGGGUGAUCCAGUUGGCCAGUUACAACAUGGU
Long non-coding RNA from Myotis brandtii (Brandt's bat), 512 nucleotides. RefSeq lists it as uncharacterized. The transcript is spliced from 3 exons. NCBI's taxonomy places the organism in Eukaryota, Metazoa, Chordata, Mammalia, Chiroptera, Vespertilionidae. The record is from RefSeq and is a predicted model, not a curated record.